Molecule: ribosomal RNA, 383 nt
Filed under: Blastocystis sp.
Lineage: Eukaryota; Bigyra; Opalinata; Blastocystidae
Description: SSU rRNA
Rfam family: Eukaryotic small subunit ribosomal RNA
Source: RNAcentral
UCAGUUUUAGUGAUGUGAAGAAGAAUACUAAUUGGAGUACUAAUGCAAGUGCAGAAAUAAUACAAAAGUAAGUUAGGGAGAAUGCAUUUAUAAGAAAAAAAACCAUUGGUUUCGGCCUAUUGAGUGAGUAAUAAUAACUAAUCAUAUCGUAUGUUUAUGUAACGAGUCGUUUUUCAUUUUUCCCCCUUAUCAGCUUUCGAUGGUAGUGUAUUGGACCCCAUGGCAGUAACGGGUAACGAAGAAUUUGGGUUCGAUUUCGGAGAGGGACCCUGAGAGAUGGCUCCCACAUCCAAGGAAGGCAGCGGGCGCGUAAAUUACCCAAUCCUGACACAGGGAGGUAGUGACAAUAAAUCACAAUGCGGAACAAUGUUUUGCAAUUGGAU